This 689-nucleotide ribosomal RNA is filed under the name uncultured bacterium. RNAcentral's name for it is "bacterial SSU rRNA". It matches the Rfam family "Bacterial small subunit ribosomal RNA", at positions 9 to 719 of the family's 1533-position model. The record is from RNAcentral.
GAGUUUGAACCUGGCUCAGAACGAACGCUGGCGGCGUGGAUAAGACAUGCAAGUCGAACGAGAGAAUUGCUAGCUUGCUAAUAAUUCUCUAGUGGCGCACGGGUGAGUAACACGUGAGUAACCUGCCCCCGAGAGCGGGAUAGCCCUGGGAAACUGGGAUUAAUACCGCAUAGUAUCGAAAGAUUAAAGCAGCAAUGCGCUUGGGGAUGGGCUCGCGGCCUAUUAGUUAGUUGGUGAGGUAACGGCUCACCAAGGCGAUGACGGGUAGCCGGUCUGAGAGGAUGUCCGGCCACACUGGAACUGAGACACGGUCCAGACACCUACGGGUGGCAGCAGUCGAGAAUCAUUCACAAUGGGGGAAACCCUGAUGGUGCGACGCCGCGUGGGGGAAUGAAGGUCUUCGGAUUGUAAACCCCUGUCAUGUGGGAGCAAAUUAAAAAGAUAGUACCACAAGAGGAAGAGACGGCUAACUCUGUGCCAGCAGCCGCGGUAAUACAGAGGUCUCAAGCGUUGUUCGGAAUCACUGGGCGUAAAGCGUGCGUAGGCUGUUUCGUAAGUCGUGUGUGAAAGGCGCGGGCUCAACCCGCGGACGGCACAUGAUACUGCGAGACUAGAGUAAUGGAGGGGGAACCGGAAUUCUCGGUGUAGCAGUGAAAUGCGUAGAUAUCGAGAGGAACACUCGUGGCGAA